CAUGCAGGCGGUCAGGCGCGUUUUGUGUGACAGCGGAGGGCUUAACCCUCCGAGGAUACGAGAUACGGCGUGACUUGAGAGCGCGAGAGGGACACGGAAUUCCGGGUGGAGUGGUGAAAUGCGUAGAGAUCCGGAGGAACACCGAAGGCGAAGGCAGUGUCCUGGCGCGUAUCUGACGCUGAGGUGCGAAAGCCAGGGGAGCGAACGGGAUUAGAUACCCCGGUAGUCCUGGCCGUAAACGAUGACCACUAGGUGUAGGAGGUAUCGACCCCUUCUGUGCCGUAGUUAACACAAUAAGUGGUCCGCCUGGGGAGUACGGUCGCAAGAUUAAA
Molecule: ribosomal RNA, 332 nt
Filed under: uncultured bacterium
Lineage: Bacteria
Description: bacterial SSU rRNA
Rfam family: Bacterial small subunit ribosomal RNA
Source: RNAcentral